This 721-nucleotide long non-coding RNA is filed under the name Mytilus galloprovincialis (Mediterranean mussel). The record is from RNAcentral. Lineage: Eukaryota; Metazoa; Mollusca; Bivalvia; Mytilida; Mytilidae.
GUUGGGGCAAGUAUGGACAAAACAUUCAAGCGUGAUACAGCUCUGAAUUUGGAUUGUGAUCAAAUUUUUGACAUUACAUGGUUUUUUUUUACACAAAACAAAUGUCAAGAUUUUACAAAUCAAUUAAAGAUUUCUUCUUCAAACUUUUUAAAUCUAAAAUUAAAUAGUUGAUCAUGACACAGCAUAGGUUUCUGACACAACGAAUGUGGUCUAAUGAACUUAAAAGUUUUUUUUUGCCUUUGAGCAAUUCACUAUGCUGUUGAAUAUUAAUCCUCUCAAAAAAAUGUUUGAAGAAAUUUUCUUUUUAUUUAUGAAAUCUGAAAUGAGAAAAAUUUACCCCCCCCCCCCCAUUUUUUUUUCACAUCCCCGUUUCCCUUUUUCCAAAACUGAUAUCAAUUCAAAUUUCUAAUGGAGUUUGCAACAAUAACUACUCUUUUAAAUACAUCAUAAAAUAUUAAAAUGUAAAAUAAAGUGCUUGUUAUCACUGAAUGGUAAAGAUUGGUUGGUAGUAAAAGUGAAUAUACAUUGUUUAUUGUAUAAAACAAUAAAAAAAACUUCAUCAGCAACAUUUUAUAUUGGCAAAUUUCCAAUGAAGUUAUUUACAUAAAGUUAUUGGCAAAUAAAAAUAGAAAAUGACAUCAUAGUCAUGUCUGGCAAAUGUCCAACAUACAUUAUCUAAAAACAUUUUAGAUAAGAUAAGGAAAAAAAGCUUCAUCAGCAA